RNAcentral lists this ribosomal RNA (527 nucleotides) under uncultured fungus. RNAcentral describes it as "SSU rRNA". It matches the Rfam family "Eukaryotic small subunit ribosomal RNA", at positions 288 to 822 of the family's 1831-position model. Lineage: Eukaryota; Fungi. The record is from RNAcentral.
CGAUGGUUCAUUCAAGUUUCUGCCCUAUCAACUUUCGAUGGUAGAGUAGUGGUCUACCAUGGUUUCAACGGGUAACGGGGAAUUAGGGUUCUAUUCCGGAGAGGGAGCCUGAGAAACGGCUACCACAUCCAAGGAAGGCAGCAGGCGCGCAAAUUACCCAAUCCCGACACGGGGAGGUAGUGACAAUAAAUACUGAUACAGGGCUCUUUUGUGUCUUGUAAUUGGAAUGAGUACAAUUUAAAUCCCUUAACGAGGAACAAUUGGAGGGCAAGUCUGGUGCCAGCAGCCGCGGUAAUUCCAGCUCCAAUAGCGUAUAUUAAAGUUGUUGCAGUUAAAAAGCUCGUAGUUGAACCUUGGGCCUGGCUGGCCGGUCCGCCUCACCGCGUGCACUGGUCCGGCCGGGCCUUUCCUUCUGGGGAGCCGCAUGCCCUUCACUGGGUGUGUCGGGGAACCAGGACUUUUACUUUGAAAAAAUUAGAGUGUUCAAAGCAGGCUAUGCUCGAAUACAUUAGCAUGGAAUAAUAGAA